Molecule: long non-coding RNA, 1506 nt
Organism: Gossypium arboreum
Lineage: Eukaryota; Viridiplantae; Streptophyta; Magnoliopsida; Malvales; Malvaceae
Exons: 2
Source: RefSeq, a predicted model, not a curated record
AGAUGAUGGUAAUUAUAAUAACAUGAUCAGUUAAAUAAUAAAAAUAAAUCAAAGAAAGCUGAAGGUUUAUAUUAUGCUAUUUGGUAUUUGAAUUUGAGUUUGAUUUUAAUGUUCAAUUUGGUAUGGAAAUUGAAGGAUAUCAUGUGGUUGAAUGUGAAUAUAUUUAACACAUGCGCAUCAAACUCAAGUACGAAACAGUAAAUUAACCCAAAAGCUAAAUACAUGGUUUGACAAUUUUAUUGGUUACUUGUGAUUUAAACAUGGAAAGUGAUCCUAGAAUCACCUUAAAAUCCCUUGAACAACUUUAUUUUUAAAGGUUUGUAAGGGUAUAGGGUUUGAUCUUGAAUGUGAUUGGGGAUACAAUGCAAGUCUUUUGCGAAGAAGAGUAAUGGCUUGGCUUGGUUUCUAAUGAAGAAGAGUUGGUGAGAAUGGUUGAUGGGUUCAGCGGUCUUCCUGACAUUGAUUCUGAGGUUUCUCACUUUAGAAGACAUUGCUGUUCUUAGCCGAAGAUUUUGUGUUCAUAUGUAUGAUGAUUAUAGCAAAAGCAAAAGUAAAUUCUCCCUCUUAGCUUGUGCAAUCUUUUUAUUCAUUGUCUACAACGUGCUGCAAUUUGUCUCACACUUAAUCCACCUGAAUUGAAGAUGCCGCUUCCCUUAGUCUAUGCGCAUACUAUGAGACUGACCAAACACCUACCUACACCUGUACAUUGCAACUUUGAGGUCUUUUACACAUUAUGGCUCCGUUUGGUAACCUGUAAAAGCUUUUCCGUAAAAGCUUUUCAAGCUUUUCUGAUGUUUGGUUGGCUGAAAAUGAUUUUCUAAGGUAAAAUAUUUUACAAAACACGGGACAAGGAGGUUUUUUUUAAGGAAAAUGUCUUACUCUUUUGAAUUCGGUAAGACAUUUUCUGGAAAAUGACGCCUUCUUCUCCCAUUUCCCCUUCCCCUUCCCCUUCCCCUUGGGUUGCAAAUCAGUUUGGUCAAGGACCUUUUCCGGUUCCUCCUUCAUCCAGGCAAAUCUACCAUGAAUUCUUCGUUGGGUCUUGGUUUAAGGCGAUGAUCGUUCUUUGAUUUCUAGUAUUUUAUUUUAAUGAAUUAUGCUGAUUGUCAUCAAAUUGAGAGAAAGUGUAGUAGCUGAUGAAGAUUACAGAUUAUCUAUUAGGCUAUUCGCCUCCUGUUUGGGCGACUUUUGUUGUUGGAGUUUUUUCAGUCAUAACAAUUUCCCUUUCAUUGUUUCUUAUUUUCGAGCACCUUUCUUCAUACAAGAAUCCUGAGGUAAUUUUUUGUGUUUUUCUUUUCUUCUAAUUGAAAUUUUCAUUUUUUUUUCCUUAUUUGGUUUUGCAUUUUAAAAAAAAAAAAUUCUGUGUUCUUGGAUUGAUAGGAGCAAAAGUUCUUGAUCAGAGUUGUUCUUAUGGUUCCUUGUUAUUCUGUAGAAUCGGUGAGUUUAUUUGUAUUGGUUGAAUGGAAGCAUUUGAAUCUAAUAUAGAUACAUAUUUUAUGUGAUUCAGAA